GCCGGGCGCAGUGGCGCGUGCCUGUAGUCCCAGCUACUUGGGAGGCUGAGGUAGGAGGAUCGCUUGAGUCCAGGAGUUCUGGGCUGCAGUGCGCUAUGCCGAUCGAGUGUCUGCGCUAAGUUCAGCAUCAAUAUGGUGACCUCCCGGGAGCGAGGGACCACCAGGUUGCCUAAGGAGGGGUGAACCAGCCCAGGUGAGAAGAAAAAUAACAUUACCUUCAAUCAAAAUAAAAAAGCAUGUGACAGAUGCCAGGGUGGUGUUACACGUCUGUAAUCCCAGCACUU
RNAcentral lists this small RNA (284 nucleotides) under Octodon degus (degu). Its description in RNAcentral is "Metazoan signal recognition particle RNA (ENSODEG00000025845.1)". It matches the Rfam family "Metazoan signal recognition particle RNA", at positions 1 to 226 of the family's 299-position model. From Rfam's summary of the family: The signal recognition particle (SRP) is a universally conserved ribonucleoprotein. The record is from RNAcentral. Lineage: Eukaryota; Metazoa; Chordata; Mammalia; Rodentia; Octodontidae.